RNAcentral lists this ribosomal RNA (509 nucleotides) under Hornius grandis. RNAcentral describes it as "partial 16S ribosomal RNA". It matches the Rfam family "Bacterial large subunit ribosomal RNA", at positions 1860 to 2600 of the family's 2925-position model. The record is from RNAcentral. Lineage: Eukaryota; Metazoa; Arthropoda; Insecta; Coleoptera; Chrysomelidae.
GGCCUUUUGAUUAUAAUUUAAGGUCUGGCCUGCCCCCUGAGGAGUUAAAUGGUCGCGGAAUUUAACCGUGCUAAGGUAGCAUAAUCAUUAGUUUUUUAAUUGAAAGCUUGUAUGAAGGGUUUGAUAAGAAAAUAACUGUCUCUGUUUUAUUUUAUUAGAAUUUUAUUUUUAAGUUAAAAAGCUUAAAUUUAAUUAAAAGACGAGAAGACCCUAUAGAGUUUUAUAAAUUUAUUAUUAAUUAGUAAAAGUAUAAAUUUUAAAUAUUAAUGAAUUUAUUUAAUUGGGGUGAUUAAAAAAUUAAAUAAACUUUUUUAAAAUUUCUUCAUUAAUUAAUGAUUAUUUGAUCCAUAAGUUAUGAUUAUAAGAAAAAAUUACCUUAGGGAUAACAGCGUAAUUUUUUUUAAGAGUUCAAAUCAAAAAAAAAGAUUGCGACCUCGAUGUUGGAUUAAAAUUUAUUUUUGGUGUAGAAGCUAGAUAUAUUAGGUCUGUUCGACCUUUAAAAUUUUACA